This is a long non-coding RNA of Panicum virgatum (switchgrass), 1359 nucleotides long. RefSeq lists it as uncharacterized. NCBI's taxonomy places the organism in Eukaryota, Viridiplantae, Streptophyta, Magnoliopsida, Poales, Poaceae. The transcript is spliced from 2 exons. The record is from RefSeq and is a predicted model, not a curated record.
CAAUUGUGGGUACAGCUAGCUCCCCUCUCUCCUUAAAUGGUGUAGUAGUGGAUUGAAACCAUUCAUGUACCCUCUUUUCUUUCCCAAAUUCAUCGGCGACUACUACCUGUAGCCUUUUGUGUGCUCAUGACUACAGGUGUCGAGCAACCAGCACGCAGCCAAUCCCAGUGAGGCAUCACGGGUGAUGAAUUGACCUGCAAAACAACAGAAAUGUAGUCAAGUGAAAGAGCAUGUUACAACAUAUUACAGAUGGAACAGGGACCACCAACAUCGACAUAAGAGAAAGUUACAUGUAUCAAUUUUUUCCAUAGUUGAGUAGAUCGUGCUUUGACUUCAGCUUAUUUUGAUUUCCAUCGAGUCUUUUCUUUGUUAACAUACUUUGACAUAUAUUGCAGCUCUUUGUGCUAUUCAAUGUUCUGAAGUAGUCAGCAUAGCAAAAAACGUUACAGGUCUAAUUCUAUCUCAAUCUGUGGUACCCAAUGUUCUGAAGUGUUCUAAAGUUGGCAUAUAUGAUUUUAGUAUACUAGAACUUCAUAACAUAAGAAGGUACAUCAGUUUAGUUUAAGCAUAUAUACUCAAAGUGUUUUUCCUUCAGAAUUCUCAUUUCAAACCAUGCAUGAUAAGUCUGUUCACCCCCAGUAGUACCAGAUUAUUUGUUUAAAACAUUGGAUUUAGAAUGUUGCUCAAGGCACCCAACAAGGCAUCAACCAUAUGUAGCGAUGUGCUUUUUUCUUACUAUUGAUUACUAAAUUAAGGGGUUAUUGAUUUCAUAUACCGAUAUUCCUUUAUAGACUUUACCCCAUGAAUUGUAAUUCCAAAGAGUGACAACCAUGAAUAUACUUUUUUUCUAUUUUAAAAUUUUAGGUGCAAUCAUGAAAUUGCUAUGUAGUGAUAGUUUCGCCUUUGAUUCUAAAGGUUUGGUCCUUUGGGUGAUAGGUUUCUUUUCUUUUCUCAUUGCUGGCUUUUCUUGCAUGUUUUUUUGGUCCUAUGAAUUACGGUAGUAAUAUUAGUUCUUGAUAUUUGAACGGUUACAUAUCUCUCACAAUUCCAUAGUUUUUCCUCUCAUGUUGUCUCCUUGCUGAAAGUAUUGAUGUCAAGAUAAAAUAAUGUGUCGGCUCUUCAACAAAUUGAGUACUAAUUCAUUUUCAGGUAUCAGUUUAAAAGUGGGCAGCCGAUAACCGGUGGCCACUAUCUUGCACAAGCUGCUCAGAGCCUCAGAUGACCCACUACAUAUAUGCAGUUAUUUGUGCUUUAUCAUUAACAUUUGUCAUUGUCCUAUCUUUAUUUUAUAUCUUUGUAAUGAAUGAUUGCAUGCCGUGGCCAGUUCUUGACUUCUAUGCUUUGGCGUUACUUGAUACA